Long non-coding RNA from Ruditapes philippinarum (Manila clam), 2462 nucleotides. RefSeq lists it as uncharacterized. NCBI's taxonomy places the organism in Eukaryota, Metazoa, Mollusca, Bivalvia, Venerida, Veneridae. The transcript is spliced from 4 exons. The record is from RefSeq and is a predicted model, not a curated record.
GCCAUCUUGGUCAGUUAUUUCGAGAAAAGGUUGAGAAGAUUUACUAUCAAUUAGGAAGUCCCAGCCAUUACGUUGAUAUUUUGGUUGCAAUCUAUUCCAUCUUGGUGUAUUGUCUUCAUACUUGGCCACAACAACCCUUCAAAUAGACCAGACUAAACUUGACCUCCAUAUAAACAUUCAAGAUGGUCGGCCUACAUGUCAGAUUUGUAAAUGUGAACGGCACGAUAUCGAUUUUAAGGAUGCUUUAGGGUCAAUGAGGAUGAAAUAAAAUGUGAGACUGUCAAUCUGACAAACCUUGCAGUGAAUAAAUGGAAACAGUGGCGUUUGUAUGAUAGAACAGUAAUAGCAGGAGUGAUAAGGACAGAUGCAUGUAGAUGUGUCUUCAUGUCGGAAACACUAGAGAAAUUGACACAUUUGGGUUUUUCAAAACUUAAAGAAAUUGGAAUACCAGAAGACUGCUUGCCAUUUGCAAUGUUGGAAUGUGUGAUGUCGAAAGCCUCAUGAAUAUAGUAACUUGACUUAAUCUAAUAAGAAAAAGAAAAGACAUUGAGGAGAAAACUAGUCACCAGUCUUUCACCAAGAACAUGAGAUAACUUUCCAAUAUUUGAAAUAUCAUAAUAUGUAUAGAACUUGAAUGAGCGACAUAAUAUGUAUUGAUAUUGAAUGAGCGACCAGUUUUUCACCAGGAAAAUAAGAUCACUUAUCUAUUUUUGAAAUAUGUAUGAACAGAACUCUAUCAACUUCAAGGUGAGAGUUUAUCAUGAAGAACAUGAGAUAACUUAUGUAUGAACAGAACCACAUUUGAAUAUAGAGGCGCCAGUUCAUCACCAAGAAGAUGAGCUAACUUAUCAAUGUUUGAAAUCUGUUAUACCCCGCACAACAAAGUUGUAAGGGGGCUAUACUGGAAUCAGCUUGUCCGGCCGUCGGGCAUCCGUCGCUUUUUUCUUGUCCGUCCAUAAAAUUAAGAUUCCUUUGACCCACAGUCUUCAUAUUAAGCAUGGAGGUAAGUCAUGAUUAGUAGAUGACCUCCAUUAAUUUUGAGAACACCAAGUCAAAGGUCAAGGUCACAGGGGUCUUGACUGAAGAAAGCUUUUCUGCCCAAUAACUUAAGAAUCCUUCGACCCACAGUCUUCAUAUUUGGCAUAGAGGUUAGUCAUGAUAAGUAGAUGUCCCCUAUUUAUUUUCAGGUCUAAGGUCAUGGUCACAGGGGCCUUGGCUAAUUAAAGCUUGUCCGCCCAAUUACCUAAGAAUCCUUAGACCCAUAGUCUUCAUAUUUGGCAUGGAGGUUAGUCAAGAUUAGUAGAAUACCCCUAUUGAUUUUGAGGUUACUGGGGCAAAGGUCAAGGUCACAGGGGCUUUUAUUACAAUUAGCUUGUCUGCUCAAAUGGUCUCAUAUAUUCAUCAUAAAACACCUCCAGGCAAGGCUGCAUGAAAUGGGUGGGGAGGGGUGUUAUUGAAGUCAUUCAAUGGCAGUUUUAGUUUUGAGGUCAGUAGGUCCAAGGUAAAGUUCACUUUGAUCUUUUCCACUAAAACAUGUAGAAUAUAUAACUUAGCAAUGCACUGGCUUACUUCCCUCAGAUUUGGCUGAGCUGUAAAUGACUACUGUUGAUUCUGACAAAUUGGUAUGUGGGGGUAUUCACGCCAUGACAAUGGCAGUUCUAGUUUGUACAGAAAAUAUCAAGGUGCAAGUUUCUUUUAUUAAGAAUAGACUUAUUGAUUAGAUAACUUACAAUAUUUACAAACAUUUAUAAUACCACACCCAUUUAAAGUAUUUCAGCUGAGAUUGUAUUAUCCAAAAUACAUGUAUUGUUAUAAUGUACUUUAUAGUAUAUUUAUUGAUAUAUUUAUUGUAAAGUUUUGAUUCUACUAGAUUUUAAAAACAUUUAGAUUUUACUAGAUCUUGAAAAUAUUUUGUUCCAUGCUCUUUCAUUUAAUUUUGAAUAAUGAAUCCAAUAAAUACCUAUAAUAAGUAUAGGAUUAAAAUUGAUAAUGUUUUCUAUCUUUAACUUAUAUAAAAAAAGUAAUGUUUAAACUGCUGGUUAGAUUUCAAACAGGACUAAACAGGGGUGUACAGUGCCAUCCUUAGUUGUGCACAUUGUUGGCAUGUUCUCAUUGUCGGAUACCCACGGCCGAACCAUUAACAUUCAUCAUUGAUUGCAUGUUAUGUGACAUGUUUAUCAAUUGUGGGUAUCCAACGAUGGCAGCCAUGUUCUGUUUCUCUGCACAAAAUGGCCCAAGAGUUAAAAAAAGAAAAAUCUAUCACAUGUACAACUGCCAAAAUUCAAAAGAGUGAUCAGAACCAUACACAGUUUUGGGAGACAUGUUUUUGUGACAAAAGCCCUUCAAGUUCAUAUAUGACCUUGACCUUUAUUUGAUAUAAAAUAUCUUUGGAGUUAGCUGGAAUUGUCAUUACUUUGUUAUUUUUUACAGAUUUGAAUCAUGCUUGAACAAACAAACACAGA